Molecule: unclassified non-coding RNA, 192 nt
Filed under: uncultured Nemania
Lineage: Eukaryota; Fungi; Ascomycota; Sordariomycetes; Xylariales; Xylariaceae
Description: sequence contains ITS1
Source: RNAcentral
CAGAGUUAUCAAAACUCCCAAACCCAUGUGAACAUACCUCGCGUUGCCUCGGCAGGUGGCGUCUCGCCCCGUAGAGUCCUACCCUGUAAGACGUUACCCUGUAAGACCCUACACGGUAGACGACCCUGCCGACGGCCCCCGAAACUCUGUUUUUAUAGCAUUAGACUUCUGAAAAGAUAACUAAAUAAGUUA